GGAGGUUUAAGCCUAAUUGGUAAGGCAGUAGUCUUGAAAACCACUAGUAAUCAUGUAAUAGUGAUGUGCAAGUUCGAGUCUUGUAGCCUCCUCA
Molecule: transfer RNA, 94 nt
Filed under: Crassvirales sp.
Lineage: Duplodnaviria; Heunggongvirae; Uroviricota; Caudoviricetes; Crassvirales
Description: tRNA-Ser
Rfam family: tRNA
About the family: Transfer RNA (tRNA) molecules are approximately 80 nucleotides in length. Their secondary structure includes four short double-helical elements and three loops (D, anti-codon, and T loops). Further hydrogen bonds mediate the characteristic L-shaped molecular structure. tRNAs have two regions of fundamental functional importance: the anti-codon, which is responsible for specific mRNA codon recognition, and the 3' end, to which the tRNAs corresponding amino acid is attached (by aminoacyl-tRNA synthetases). tRNAs cope with the degeneracy of the genetic code in two manners: having more than one tRNA (with a specific anti-codon) for a particular amino acid; and 'wobble' base-pairing, i.e. permitting non-standard base-pairing at the 3rd anti-codon position.
Source: RNAcentral